RNAcentral lists this ribosomal RNA (497 nucleotides) under uncultured bacterium. Its description in RNAcentral is "partial 16S ribosomal RNA". It matches the Rfam family "Bacterial small subunit ribosomal RNA", at positions 28 to 507 of the family's 1533-position model. The record is from RNAcentral.
GAUGAACGCUGGCGGCGUGCCUAAUACAUGCAAGUCGAGCGAACGGACGAGAAGCUUGCUCCCCUGAUGUUAGCGGCGGACGGGUGAGUAACACGUGGAUAACCUACCUAUAAGACUGGGAUAACUUCGGGAAACCGUAGCUAAUACCGGAUAAAUUUUUGAACCGAAUGGUUCAUAAGUGUAAGACGGUCUUGCUGUCACUUAUAGAUGGAUCCGCGCUGCAUUAGCUAGUAGGUAAGGUAACGGCUUACCAAGGCAAGGAUGCAUAGCCGACCUGAGAGGGUGAUCGGCCACACUGGAACUGAGACACGGUCCAGACUCCGACGGUAGGCAGCAGUAGGGAAUCUUACGCAAGGGGCGAAAGCCUGACGGAGCAACGCCGCGUGAGUGAUGAAGGUCUUCGGAUCGUAAAACUCUGUUAUUAGGGAAGAACAAAUGUGUAAGUAACUGUGCACAUCUUGACGGUACCUAAUCAGAAAGCCACGGCUAACUACGUG